CAACGUCUCUGCUCAGCUGAGCUCAUCUCUCAUCUUCUCAGCCUGGAAAAAAAAUCAGCCGCCGCCCCUGCGCAGAUUUUUUCAGCGUCUAUAUCACUUUGCGCGUGUCCAAGCCACCGUUCAGCUCGAGAAGAAAAUCCUACCGUGCUCGAUUCUUCCCUGCGCGUCUCCUCCGCUUGGAGCUUCCUGCGUCCCUCUGUGGCCGGAACUCCCUUCAUGGCCGGAGCUCGGACGGCGCUCGGUCCUGCCACUCCCAUGGCCGCGCCCCCCUGCUUCUCUCUCUCAGCGCUCGCGGCUCUUUCUCUCCUGCUCCGUCCAUGGCUGUUUGCCUCUGCUCGCGGCGUCCCUGCUCGCCCAGCCGAGCUCUCCACUGCCCAGCUCCAUCUCACGGCGCUCUGUCUGCUCGGUUCCAUGGCCUCGGUACUCCAGCUCGCCGUGACCUGCUCCCUCUGUUUCCAUGGCAGGCUCUCUGCUCGUCGCGCGCGCCUGGACGAUCUCCCUGGUGGCUGCCUGUUCUCCCUGUGUACCGCGCGAGUUCUUUGGUAGACGCGCGCUGGCCGUGCUCCACUUCGCCCAUCGCGGCGCUCCAGUUCCAACUCGCUGCGCGCCGAGCUCUUCGCUGUUGUCCGUGCGCGCGCGCCGCUCGUCGACCUCUCUGCUCACGUAUAGCUCGCUCUUUCCUUGUUUGCCGCGCGCACGAAUUUCAUCUGCUCCCAUAGCAUGUCGAGUUCCCGCACCAUCAUCGCUUCUGUCACAAGCUCGUUGACCACAGUUAUUUUGAUCGUGUCAGCUCGCGACUGUGGUCAUGUUCAUCGAAUUCGCCAACGCUUUGUUGCCGAUUCGAUUGUCGUCGUUUCGCGUGUUGUCGAGCCCGUCGUUUUCCCCGUCUUGUACUCGCAUGGUUUUCUGCUCGCCGGUGCGCUCUCUCAGCUCGCUCGGCUUUAAUUCCUAAUCGCAUCGUCGAUUCCAGCGGUUAACGUCGUCGCGUCGCGGGUGCAGCUCUAUAUACAUCACCCUCCCGUGUCGUCGUCGUUCCGCGUGUCAGUAAGAAAACCAAAGAAUCGGGUGAAGACGAAGCUAGCAGCGCGAUAUUCCCUAAGCGCUCGACAAAUUGUCUGGAUCGGAAAAUCGCUACCGAUCUCGUGGAUUCGUGUCAGCUGUGGAAACGGUAAGCUGAUAAAUUAUUCAGAAUAGUUCGAUCGAUGAAUAAAUUAAUGUGCUAGUGUGAUGCUCAUUAAGGUGCUUGAUAAAUUGCGUAAGUCACGAAACUCUCGUCGACUUCGCAGUUCUUGCGAUUAUCGAGCCAGAUUCAGUUAUAGCGAGUUAUUUCGCUAUUCCGGUCACUUAGCUGAAUUAGUGGACCAAGUAGAAUUUUGGCAAGCAUGUGUGAUGAUGAAAUAUUUUAAUCACUUAUAAAGAUGUAGUAUAAUUUAUAAAGAAAGGGAUUAAUUCAGAAUUUAAUUAAUUAACUGAUAAGUUGUGAUUAG
RNAcentral lists this unclassified non-coding RNA (1487 nucleotides) under Zea mays. Its description in RNAcentral is "misc RNA Zm00001eb049350". The record is from RNAcentral. Lineage: Eukaryota; Viridiplantae; Streptophyta; Magnoliopsida; Poales; Poaceae.